GUGCAGCAGUGGGGGAAGGAGGGGGUGGGGGAGGUGGGGGGGGGGCUGCUGUUAGGCAGAUCCAGGAGGGCAGAGGUGUCAAAGCAGUUUUACAGCUUUCUGGUGCUGAUAUGUGCCGGAGCCAGGGGACUUUCUGAUGGACGUAUGGGAGCAACACAUACAGACUGUUUGAAAGGGUCAUCUGCGUAUUUCACAGCAGCGGCCCGUGGGGGCAGCCCGUUGGCAGUGGAGGGACCCAGGCCCUUCUGGCUGUUCCAGAGGACCCACCAGGACAGGGUUUCAGAGGAACACGAGAGCAGCUAAGCCCCUCGCUCAUGUCAGGGGAGCUGGGGGCAAGGACUUUCAGAGCUGGGUGUUUUGGGGCAAGGAAAAUUGGGGUAUGGCUUUUUGACAGUAAGGAGGUUUGGAAGUAAGGGCAUCACGAGGGAGCCUGGAGAUGGAAGCACUCAGGGCCGAGGGCACUUGCGAGCAAGGGCUGCUGGACGCACGGCACAGCCCCUCGGCGAUGGCACUCGAGGCUGAGGUUCUUUGGUGGUGAAAGCAUACAGGGCUAAGAGGGGAUGAGAGCGAAGAUAGAAAUAAUUUUGCUGUGGAUCCAAAUGGUGGCAUCGUGCUGUACUGACUUCGUCUCUUGUCUUCAUUCCACUAGCUUUUCACAAGGACGUGCUUUGGAGGCAUGACUUUACAAAGGUUGGAGCUGUCAUGGUCAAGCACUGAGAGGAGGCAUUUAUUAAGCACUGCGAACGACAGGCUGGUAAAAGACUGCCUACAACUUUGUCUUUUGCAGCACCAAAUACAGAGUAUUAUUUAACAUUUCACGCACAACUUUGCAGAAAAGUUUUGUCCCCUUGGAAUCCUCCUAAGAUCCCACUGUAUGGUUAUGGCUGAAAAAAAAU
This 896-nucleotide long non-coding RNA is filed under the name Gallus gallus (chicken). RNAcentral's name for it is "lncRNA (ENSGALG00010019668.1)". The record is from RNAcentral. Lineage: Eukaryota; Metazoa; Chordata; Aves; Galliformes; Phasianidae.